GCCUUCUAGACUUCAUUUUUGGUUUAUGUGUAUUUUAUCUGUGUUGCUAAUAAUAUCGUCAGUUUUUAUAAUUCUAUGUUGUUAAAUAAAGCAUCACUAUGUUUCAGGCUAAAAUGGAGCUUUGAAGAAUACUUUUAGCCAGUUUAAAUAAAUAACAAAACUCAUGAUGUAUUAACUGAAUUAUCUUUUCAUUUUGAUAGUCUUUAGUCAAUAUCGGACUUUUAAAUUGUUAUGAGUCUAGAACACUUAAUUUCAGCGAAAUUAAAUUAAAAUAUCACGUCAUAGAAGAAAGAACAAUGUCAAUAUCUGUUUUUGAUAAUUUGGCUUACAUAGCAAAUCUCAGAGGUGCAUAAUAAAAUAUAUCGUUGCAUACUCAUUUUGAUGGUCGUAAUUUUUUAAGCAUACUCACUUUUAUAUAUUAGACUGUUUACCGUUUGACUGCUGUCCCUAAUCUAAUCUAGUGGGUCCGAAAAAAAAGGACUGCGCUGGAAACAUGAAGGGGUUAAAAGGAUUAGCCCUUUUUGAAUUAAUAUUCGAAGUCGUAGCCAGCUCGUAUGAAAGGAUUUCUCUACGUAAAAUAGUUAAAUUUAUUCAACAAUGCAAAGAAACAGAGCUCGCUCAAGAAACAGUGAAAAAUAGAAA
This is a non-coding RNA of Hydra vulgaris (swiftwater hydra), 642 nucleotides long. Lineage: Eukaryota; Metazoa; Cnidaria; Hydrozoa; Anthoathecata; Hydridae. The record is from RefSeq and is a predicted model, not a curated record.